GAUGAACGCUGGCGGCGUGCCUAAUACAUGCAAGUCGAGCGCACGGACGAGAAGCUUGCUUCUCUGAUGUUAGCGGCGGACGGGUGAGUAACACGUGGAUAACCUACCUAUAAGACUGGGAUAACUUCGGGAAACCGGAGCUAAAACCGGAUAAUAUUUUGAACCGCAUGGUUCAAAAGUGAAAGAUGGUCUUGCUGUCACUUAUAGAUGGAUCCGCGCUGCAUUAGCUAGUUGGUAAGGUAACGGCUUACCAAGGCAACGAUGCAUAGCCGACCUGAGAGGGUGAUCAGCCACACUGGCACUGAGACACGUUCCAGACUCCUACGGGAGGCAGCAGUAGGGAAUCUUCCGCAAUGGGCGAAAGCCUGACGGAGCAACGCCGCGUGAGUGAUGAAGGUCUUCGGAGCGUAAAACUCUGUUAUUAGGGAAGAACAUAUUUGUAAGUAACUGUGCACAUCUUGACGUUACCUAAUCAGAAAGCCACGGCUUACUACGGG
RNAcentral lists this ribosomal RNA (497 nucleotides) under uncultured bacterium. Its description in RNAcentral is "partial 16S ribosomal RNA". It matches the Rfam family "Bacterial small subunit ribosomal RNA", at positions 28 to 507 of the family's 1533-position model. The record is from RNAcentral.